UCCCUCUUAGCUCAGUGGUAGAGCGCGUCACUAGUAUUGCGUAAGCUGGCUUAGUCAGCGUCACGUGAUGACGAGGUCAGUCGUUCAAAUCGGCUAGCGGGAA
Ceratobasidium sp. AG-I is the source of this 103-nucleotide non-coding RNA. NCBI's taxonomy places the organism in Eukaryota, Fungi, Basidiomycota, Agaricomycetes, Cantharellales, Ceratobasidiaceae. The record is from the annotation of a GenBank genome assembly.